ACUUAAAUAAUUUAAAUAAAAUAUUGAUUUGUGGGGUCAAAUUUAAGAGGGUACUCUUUUUAGGUU
Molecule: transfer RNA, 66 nt
Filed under: Abisara chela
Lineage: Eukaryota; Metazoa; Arthropoda; Insecta; Lepidoptera; Riodinidae
Description: tRNA-His
Source: RNAcentral